CCCGGCACUUCCUCACAUCCUCUUAAGUGCAAUGAUUCCAUAUAUAUAACACAUCUCUCCACCUCUCUGUUAUGGACAUCGUUGUCCCACCAAUAAAAUCGAAUCAUAUACAGAAGCAAGCGAAGUUGAAGAAUGGAGACGAAUUACACCGGAUUCUAGAAGGCUAGAUAUCAUGGAGGCCUCUAAUUGUUCAUAUAAAUAUUUAUUCUGACAUGUUCUUAGCUGUGAAAAAUUGGCUUCAGCGGUGUACGGCAACUGGUGGUAAGAAGGAUCUUUUAAGUUUUAUAAGUUAGCCUAGCAUGAAUAAAAAAAUCUGUCUUUUUGUUCAACUAAAAUUUGAGAUUUUGCUUUUUGUCCACAGAGACAAAAGAGGAGAAGUUAAGGAACAAAAAGCAU
This 396-nucleotide long non-coding RNA is filed under the name Arabidopsis lyrata. RNAcentral describes it as "long non-coding RNA (ALYR_LNC003326)". The record is from RNAcentral. Lineage: Eukaryota; Viridiplantae; Streptophyta; Magnoliopsida; Brassicales; Brassicaceae.